This is a long non-coding RNA of Bubalus bubalis (water buffalo), 2865 nucleotides long. RefSeq lists it as uncharacterized. Lineage: Eukaryota; Metazoa; Chordata; Mammalia; Artiodactyla; Bovidae. The transcript is spliced from 3 exons. The record is from RefSeq and is a predicted model, not a curated record.
UCUCCCACAUUGCAGGCAGAUGCUUUACAUCUGAGCCACCGGGGAAGCCUCUCUCUCUCUUUCUCUCUCUCAUACCAGGGUGGUUCCCAGACCUGGCUGAGCACUAGAAUCAAUUGAGAAGCUUUAAAAAGAUCCCGAAGCCUCAGCCUUACCUCAUACCUUACACCAGAAUAUAUGAGAGAAAGCUCUGUGCAUUUGUAGUUUUUGAAAUCUGAUCUCAGGUGCUCAGAAUUUGAUAAGUUCAGAUAUUUAUUCAAGAUUCAAUAAUGCACAGGUUACUAAUGGUCAUCAAGGAGAACAAGAUUCACUUUAUUCUGGGUUAGCCUGAUUCUCGGACAAGGAAUUACUUUCUUCAUCAGUUAAAUUGUCUCCAGGGUCUCUGUCUUUAUCUCCGAAACACACGUUCUUUGAAAGACCAAAGAAGACAAUGGAUGAAGUGGCCUGCUGUGAUAUUCUCAUCUUGGGAAAAUUACAGAGGUACUUCAGAAUAAAGUUGGGAUGUCCCAUUCUCUGUUCUGUGGUUGUAACAUUUUAAAUCUCCUCUCUCCAAGGCACACGUGUGUGUCAGAAUCUCUCCAGUUCUGCCAAGUCCAACUGCCAUCGUGCCCAUAGACAAGACUAAAUAAACUGAUAUGAAGUGUUCCUUGCACCACUAAACUGGAGUCUGAAGGAGGUGUAUUCACCAUCUGGGCUCAUCUUUGAUACCAGAGAUUUGGAGAACCAGAGGAAAUGAGGAGCCCCCGAGAGAACCUCCCUGAGACAUGUCCACGCAGACCUGGGCACCGAGGUGGCACUCCCCAUCUGUGGUUUGUCAAAAUUUUGACAUGUGGCAUAAUCUGCCACUAAUCAGAACAGAGGAAAACAAAUGAAAAAAAGAAGAAGGCAGUCUAAGACUGUAAGUAGGAAAACAGACAUAGAAAACUUCUAUCUUUCCAAGUAGGAAAAGUAUUUAGCAUGUUUUUCUAAAACAAAGCUGAUCUGUCUUUGGACAAAGUUGGAGCUCCCAGGUUUGCCGUGACAGAUGUGACUUCUCUGUGUCCUGCAGAGCUCAGCAGUGGGGGUUCAGGCAGCUCAGAGCGGGAAAAGAAACCAUGUGGAUACAGAUGAAAUAACAGAGUUAAGGAUAGUCAAAUCACCAAAUUUAAGGACUUCAUUUAAAAGACGCGCAAGCUUAGUUUUGUUUUAGUAUAGCUAAGGUGUCAUUGACUUACAGAAACAACUCAAUGGCAUUAAUCUUCGGGUUAUAUAUUAUAUAACUGUAAAGCAUUUUCCUAAGAUUUAGCAUUUGAAUUUAUAUGGUAUGGACAUCUACUACAGAAAAUACUAUUUAUUGAUAAGGUACUUUAAUGAUAUGGGAAAUGCAUGGAGAAGCAUUUUGAAAAAAUUAUUUGCUGUCUCUGCUUCUCCUCUUCCUCUAUUGAUUUGUUAUGAAAACUCUACACUUACAAUAAUAAGUGUAGAAUAAUUCUACCUCAGAUCUGGAGCAGGUCCCGAUAUAUAGCACAUACUCAAGAAUAUUUUUUUAAGGAGAGAGAGAGGGAAAAAAAUGGAGUAGCUUAAUGAUAUUUAUACCAUGAAUGCCGCUAAAAUGGGUAAAAAUUAAUGCUGAUAUGUAGACUUAUAAAGAUUAAUAGAGACUUUCUUGUUGUUGCUGUAUUUCUAAGUCCCAGUUGGAUAAGGCGUUGAGCUGAGUAUUUCUCUGUUUAAACAUAGCAUCUGCUUAUGGGCAGAGGAUUCCUUAGCCUGAUUCAGGCCAGCUCUACGUUUAAAAAUAAAUGACAUGGAUCUGAGUUUCAGAGAAGUAGUACAGGAAAAGUGAGACAAAACAACAACAAAACAGAAGUCACAAGAGUGUACCAGACAACAGGAGCAGAGUGUGAAGAUGAGGGGAAGGUCAGGGACAACCCUGUCCUUACCUCGGAGACGGAGCUGAAACAACAGACACCAUAAUCAUUUCAGGGUAUCGAUUAUUCAAACCAUCUCCCUCUCUGCUCUCAAUCCUCUAUGCCACCAAGUCAUCUGUUAGGCACCGGCAAGGGGUGGGAAGUGGGGCAAAAAAGGAAAAAAGUAAAGGACUGAACUUACAUAUAAUUUGCCACUAAUUAAUAAUGGUAAGCACAUACCACAUAACGCUGCUUACUUAUUUAUUAUGCCAGGUGCUCCUGGAGUACUCUGUGUAUACUAACUCCUUCAAUUCUCACAGCAGUCCUUUGAUUAUUUCCAUUUUACAGAUGAAGGGGUCAAGGCACAGAAAGAUCAAAAGUGUUUGAAGAGUAAAGUCAAGAUUCAAACCCAGGUGGUCAGUCUCAGAGCACGUCCCCUUGUCUAUUACUCAGAUGCCCAGGUGGAAGAAGACCUGGAUUUGGGAUGAAAUACUUUCAGAUUCCCUUUCACAUCAUCAGGUAGUCUAGAUUCCUGUGUGCUCAGUCACUCAAUUGUGUCAGACUCUUGCCAUUCCAUGGACUGUAGCUUGCCAGGCUCCUCUGUUCAUGGGAUCUUCCAGGCAAGAAUACUGCACUGGGUUGUCAUUUCCUUCUCCAGGGGAAUCUUUCCAACCCAGGGACUGAACCCGCGUCUCCUGCCAAAGAUUCUUCUGCAGGCAGAUUCUUUACCGCUGAGCCACCUGGGGGCUUCUGUAUCACAUUGUAAAUAGGAGUGGUCUGUUUGGGUACCUAGCCAAAUACAGAGUACAGGUUCAAUAAAAUACUUGUCCAGUCAAAGGAUGUUUCAGGUCAAUUUAUAGUAGAACUCUUCAGAACAUAUUGAUGAAUUGAUGCUUUCAAACUGUGGUGUUGGAGAAGACUCUUGAGAGUCCCUUGGACUGCAGGGAAAUUAAACCAGUCAAUCCUAAAGGUAAUCAACCCU